GCGCAAACUUCUCCAGAAGCUGGUCUGAUGAAGAAUCUCCAUCGAUCUUCUGGCGAAUGUCAUCCAAACUUAAACUCAAGUUCUGAGGAGGACUUGGAGUUAAGCAUGAGACCAACUAUUUUGAAGAAGCCAGAUACCGUGAUAAACAUGAAGAAAACUCAAAAAGUUGAAAAUUUUAAGCAAUUGCAAUGUUUGCAGGCUCACCAUGCAGCUAAUAUUAAAGGUAAUUAUGCUUUUUUCGGCUGAAGUUGGACUUCGUUUUAGGUUUAAGGAUGGUAAUCAUAUCGAAGGAGCUUGUAUAAAUGUGAAGUUAUAGCAGGAACUGUCAAUGUUACAAAUUAUAAAAACUUAUAGAGCAGCUUGUUUCUUAUUCUCAACUUAUUUUCAAAGAACUCUGAUGAGAAUAGUUGUGUUAAUUGACAAACUGUAAUGAAUCCAAAUUAUGCCUUUUGUUUUUGAAAAAAUUUCCCCAUUAUUAAAAUAUGGCUU
Molecule: long non-coding RNA, 489 nt
Organism: Pistacia vera
Lineage: Eukaryota; Viridiplantae; Streptophyta; Magnoliopsida; Sapindales; Anacardiaceae
Exons: 3
Source: RefSeq, a predicted model, not a curated record